This 140-nucleotide ribosomal RNA is filed under the name uncultured eukaryote. Its description in RNAcentral is "partial 18S ribosomal RNA". It matches the Rfam family "Eukaryotic small subunit ribosomal RNA", at positions 1299 to 1458 of the family's 1831-position model. The record is from RNAcentral.
UGGUGGAGUGAUUUGUCUGGUUAGUUCCGUUAACGAACGAGACCUUAACCUGCUAAAUAGUUACGCAUAACUUCGGUUAGGCGGGCAACUUCUUAGAGGGACUUUGUGUGUCUAACGCAAGGAAGUUUGAGGCAAUAACA